UGAGGAAUAUUGGUCAAUGGGCGUAAGCCUGAACCAGCCAAGUCGCGUGAGGGAUGAAGGUUCUAUGGAUCGUAAACCUCUUUUAUAAGGGAAUAAAGUGCGGGACGUGUCCUGUUUUGUAUGUACCUUAUGAAUAAGGAUCGGCUAACUCCGUGCCAGCAGCCGCGGUAAUACGGAGGAUCCGAGCGUUAUCCGGAUUUAUUGGGUUUAAAGGGAGCGUAGGCGGCCCGACAAGUCAGCGGUAAAAGACUGCAGCUAAACUGUAGCACGCCGUUGAAACUGCCGGGCUAGAGUGCAGACGAGGUUGGCGGAACAGGUGAAGUAGCGGUGAAAUGCAUAGAUAUCACCUGGAACCCCGACAGCGAAGGCAGCUGACCAGGCUGUAACUGACGCUGAUGCUCGAGAGCGUGGGUAGCGAACAGGAUUAGAUACUC
RNAcentral lists this ribosomal RNA (434 nucleotides) under uncultured bacterium. RNAcentral's name for it is "bacterial SSU rRNA". It matches the Rfam family "Bacterial small subunit ribosomal RNA", at positions 355 to 787 of the family's 1533-position model. The record is from RNAcentral.